RNAcentral lists this non-coding RNA (21 nucleotides) under Caenorhabditis elegans. Lineage: Eukaryota; Metazoa; Nematoda; Chromadorea; Rhabditida; Rhabditidae. The record is from RNAcentral.
UAUCUUACAGCUAUUCAGACA